AGGACGAACGCUGGCGGCGUGCCUAACACAUGCAAGUCGAACGGGAUCCAUCCAGUGGCAACACUGGUGAAGAUCUAGUGGCGAACGGGUGAGUAACACAUGAGGAACCCACCCCGAUCUCAGGAAUAACAGUGGGAAACCACUGCUAAUACCGGAUGUCUUCCCUGGGUCGCAUGGCUCGGCGAAGAAAGGUUUACCGGAUCGGGAAGGCCUCGUGGCCUAUCAGCUAGUUGGCGGGGUAACGGCCCACCAAGGCGUCGACGGGUAGCUGGUCUGAGAGGAUGAUCAGCCACACUGGGACUGAGACACGGCCCAGACUCCUACGGGAGGCAGCAGUGGGGAAUCUUGCGCAAUGGGCGAAAGCCUGACGCAGCAACGCCGCGUGGGGAUGACGGCCCUCGGGUUGUAACCCCUUUCAGCAGGAACGAAUUGACGGUACCUGCAGAAGAAGGCCGGCCAACUACGUGCCAGCAGCCGC
RNAcentral lists this ribosomal RNA (478 nucleotides) under uncultured bacterium. Its description in RNAcentral is "SSU rRNA". It matches the Rfam family "Bacterial small subunit ribosomal RNA", at positions 26 to 518 of the family's 1533-position model. The record is from RNAcentral.